UACAGAGGGUGCAAGCGUUAAUCGGAAUUACUGGGCGUAAAGCGCAUGUAGGUGGAACAAUAAGUUUGAUGUGAAAGCCCCAGGCUUAACCUGGGAACGGCGUUGAAGACUGUUGUUCUUGAGUUUGACAGAGGGCCGUGGAAUUUCCGGUGUAGCAGUGAAAUGCGUAGAGAUCGGAAAGAACACCAGUGGCGAAGGCGGCGGCCUGGGUCUAAACUGACACUGAGGUGCGAAAGCGUGGGGAGCAAACAGG
This 253-nucleotide ribosomal RNA is filed under the name uncultured bacterium. RNAcentral describes it as "partial 16S ribosomal RNA". It matches the Rfam family "Bacterial small subunit ribosomal RNA", at positions 524 to 776 of the family's 1533-position model. The record is from RNAcentral.